RNAcentral lists this ribosomal RNA (298 nucleotides) under uncultured bacterium. Its description in RNAcentral is "partial 16S ribosomal RNA". It matches the Rfam family "Bacterial small subunit ribosomal RNA", at positions 334 to 646 of the family's 1533-position model. The record is from RNAcentral.
CGUGCCUACGGGGGGCAGCAGUGGGGAAUAUUGGACAAUGGGGGGAACCCUGAUCCAGCGACGCCGCGUGAGUGAAGAAGUAUUUCCGUAUGUAAAGCUCCCUCAGCAGAGAAGAAAGAAAUGACGGUACCUGACUAAGAAGCCCCGGCUAACUACGUGCCAGCAGCCGCGGUAAUACGUAGGGGGCAAGCGUUAUCCGAAUUUACUGGGUGUAAAGGGAGCGUAGACGGCGAUGCAAGUCUGAAGUGAAAGGCGGGGGCCCAACCCCCGGACUGCUUUGGAAACUGUAUGGCUGGAG